GACGAACGCUGGCGGCGUGCUUAACACAUGCAAGUCGAACGGAGUGGCGAACGGGUGAGUAACACGUGGGUGCUCUGCCCUGCACUUCGGGAUAAGCUUGGGAGACUGGGCCUAAUACCGGAUAGGGCCAGAUGAGCUCGCGGCCUAUCAGCUUGUUGGUGGGGGAAUGGCCUUCCAAGGCGUCGACGGGUCGCCGGCCUGAGAGGGGGUACGUCCACAUUGGGACUGAGAUACGGCCCAGACUCCUACGGGAGGCAGCAGUGGGGAAUAUUGCACAAUAGGCGGAAGCCGGAUGCAGCGACGCCGCGUGGGGGAUAAAGGCCUUCGGGUUGUAAACUCCUUUCGACAGGGACGCGGUACCUGUAUAAGAAGCACCGGCUAACUACGUGCCAGCAGCCGCGGUAAUUC
RNAcentral lists this ribosomal RNA (408 nucleotides) under uncultured bacterium. Its description in RNAcentral is "partial 16S ribosomal RNA". It matches the Rfam family "Bacterial small subunit ribosomal RNA", at positions 28 to 526 of the family's 1533-position model. The record is from RNAcentral.